UUAAGUUCAGCGGGUAUCCCUACCUGAUCCGAGGUCAACCUAAGAAGUUGGGGGUUGUUGGCAAGCCUCCACCAGGACCCUAUAGCGAGGUAUUUACUACGCUUAGAGCCUGGCAGCACCGCCACUGAUUUUAAGGCCCGCCGGGUGGCGAAGCCCAAGACCAGCCAGGCUGGAUUGGUUAUAAUGACGCUCGAACAGGC
This 200-nucleotide unclassified non-coding RNA is filed under the name Trichopeziza sp. RNAcentral's name for it is "partial internal transcribed spacer 2". The record is from RNAcentral. Lineage: Eukaryota; Fungi; Ascomycota; Leotiomycetes; Helotiales; Tricladiaceae.